GGGACAUAGCUCAGUAGUAGAGCAUUUGCCUGGAAUGUGCAAGGCCCUGGGUUCAAUACCUAGUACCUG
This 69-nucleotide transfer RNA is filed under the name Marmota monax (woodchuck). RNAcentral's name for it is "tRNA.Ser". The record is from RNAcentral. Lineage: Eukaryota; Metazoa; Chordata; Mammalia; Rodentia; Sciuridae.